Nothoprocta perdicaria is the source of this 286-nucleotide long non-coding RNA. RefSeq lists it as uncharacterized. The transcript has 2 exons. Lineage: Eukaryota; Metazoa; Chordata; Aves; Tinamiformes; Tinamidae. The record is from RefSeq and is a predicted model, not a curated record.
GGCAUUGAUAGUAUGGAAGCAAAGACAUGACAAGGAUUGUGAGGAGGUGAUGCACGUGCUGAAAGGUUCCUUGGCUUUCUCUGGAAAUCUGUGUGCACAGGGAACUUGCCGUGUUGUCCCUGUGGCUUAAUUUAGGUUGAGGAAAGCUGUGAGGACGUUAAAGGUAAGAGUUUCUGAACAGAGACUGCCAUAAGGUGUGAGGAUAAAAGAAUUCUCCAACUGCAUUAUUUUCUUCUUUGUAUUAUGAACACACUGCAGCAAAUCUGAAAUGUAUAGGAAAUCAAAG